GCAUUUUUGUAGCAAUACGGGAAUGCUAGUGGCGUAAGGGCGAGUAACACGUGGGUAACGUAUCUUGGCGCUGGGGAUAACUCCCCGAAAGGGGGGCUAAUACCGAAUGUGGACAUCCUGUGCAAACGGGAUGUCCAAAGGUGGGGAUCCGCAAGGACCUACCGCGCGAAGAGCGGCCCGCGUCCUAUCAGCUAGUUGGUGGGGUAAUGGCCUACCAAGGCGACGACGGGUAGCCGACCUGAGAGGGUGAUCGGCCACACUUGGUCGCGACACGGGCAAGACUCCUACGGAAGUCGNAUGGAGUCGAUCU
Molecule: small RNA, 310 nt
Filed under: uncultured bacterium
Lineage: Bacteria
Description: bacterial SSU rRNA
Rfam family: Bacterial small subunit ribosomal RNA
Source: RNAcentral